This 492-nucleotide ribosomal RNA is filed under the name uncultured bacterium. RNAcentral's name for it is "partial 16S ribosomal RNA". It matches the Rfam family "Bacterial small subunit ribosomal RNA", at positions 28 to 507 of the family's 1533-position model. The record is from RNAcentral.
GAUGAACGCUAGCUACAGGCCUAACACAUGCAAGUCGAGGGGAAACGACAUCGAAAGCUUGCUUUUGAUGGGCGUCGACCGGCGCACGGGUGAGUAACGCGUAUCCAACCUGCCCAUCACUUGGGGAUAACCUUGCGAAAGUAAGACUAAUACCCAAUGAUAUCUCUAGAAGACAUCUGAAAGAGAUUAAAGAUUUAUCGGUGAUGGAUGGGGAUGCGUCUGAUUAGCUUGUUGGCGGGGUAACGGCCCACCAAGGCAACGAUCAGUAGGGGUUCUGAGAGGAAGGUCCCCCACAUUGGAACUGAGACACGGUCCAAACUCCUACGGGAGGCAGCAGUGAGGAAUAUUGGUCAAUGGGCGAGAGCCUGAACCAGCCAAGUAGCGUGCAGGAAGACGGCCCUAUGGGUGGUAAACUGCUUUUAUAAGGGAAUAAAGUGAGAGUCGUGACUCUUUUUGUAUGUACCUUAUGAAUAAGGACCGGCUAAUUCCGUG